AAGGGGCUAUAUAAAGAUACUGGAGACUUGUAAUGUUAGUACAUUUCCCUGCAGCAGCAUCUAUGCUUUAUAACAUGUAAGAAAGCAGUCAGCCUACUUCUCAACGAUUAUUGACUUCGAGGAUUUUAAUAGGCUGCAUAAAGGUUCUGCAGAGGUGGGGUUGGGUCUUUCCAAUUAUUGAACUACACAGAUAUCAUGAGCAGUGUGAACUCUGCUGCUUGCCUGCUGGCAAGGAAUCAUUUUUACCAGAAUGUCAGUUCUACCAACAAAUUACAGCCUGUGUAUGGCUUCCCUGGAGAACUGUCACAAGCCAGGCAAAGGCAUGUGAUUGUCUGGAAAGCUGCUUCCAUACACCAAGGUUUGUCAGGACAGGUGCCCAGACGAUGGGUAUUAAGUGUGGUUUGGAAAAGUUCAACAUCCUGCCGACCUUAACCAAACCACAAGGAUCUGCGAACCGUGCGAUCAAAUAGACAUCUGAACUUGUUUAAAGACUUCAUGUAACAUUCCUGGAGCCACAGCAUAUCCUUUCUUAUUUGGAACCCCCUAACCCAUUGGGAUUGAAGACCUUAUCUAGCUGAUCUACACCGAAAAUAUUUUCCUAGCAGUUCAUUGGUCCAAGAAAAUACCAGAACGAAAGGACCUGCAGUUGUUUUGUGGCAUAAUGCAUUCCCGUAAAAAUUGCCUCUCAUUUUUCCCCAAAGAGCAAGAUCAAAUCUCUUGUGUUCUCCUGAAACCUCACUGUAGGGAGUGUGUCCUCAUUCCUCAGCAUCCAAUCAGAGAAUGACCCAGUCUCCAUUGCACAGACCUGUUGCCAAGCACAGGGGAAGAGAGGGAAAAAACAACAAAAAAAACAGUGUCAGCACACUACACAAAUCCCUUUCCAUGAACACAGCCAUCAGUGUGCAGUGACACAUGAGAGGAAAUACAAGACAAUGUAUGAAAACUAUAUUCAAGAUUAUGUAAAAUGGACAAAUAGUGAGGACAAGCUCCAUUUUUUCAAGCACCUUCGGUCAUGCAAGUUAAGAAAAAUGAACAAAUCUGUCCUUUUUCCCCCAUCUGCCUUGAUUAGAUUAGUCUUGGUCAGCACUUUUAGACUUCCCCACUCACAAAAACACAUCUAGACUUGUUUACUUUUCCAAACUCUUCAUGUUUGUCCUAAGCAGACAAUGUGAUUUUUCCACACCAGAAUGUACACAAAAAAAAAAAAAAAUCAUUUAAAAAAAAAAAAACAAAACAAAAAAAAAACCUUGUUUCUUAGAAACUGAAUCAACACAAUGAUUUGCAUUUAUCUGGAAUUUUGCCAACAAGCCAAAAAUAGACUUUUCACUGAGGGAAUAAAGGAACAGUGAAAAUGAA
Molecule: long non-coding RNA, 1356 nt
Organism: Silurus meridionalis
Lineage: Eukaryota; Metazoa; Chordata; Actinopteri; Siluriformes; Siluridae
Exons: 4
Source: RefSeq, a predicted model, not a curated record